CGAGGCGGUAGGUUUCCUUCGGGAGACUGAGGAGCGGCGCACGGGUGCGGAACACGUGUGCAACCUGCCUUUAUCAGGGGGAUAGCCUUUCGAAAGGAAGAUUAAUACCCCAUAACAUUUUGAAUGGCAUCAUUUAAAAUUGAAAACUCCGGUGGAUAAAGAUGGGCACGCGCAGGAUUAGAUAGUUGGUAGGGUAACGGCCUACCAAGUCAACGAUCCUUAGGGGGCCUGAGAGGGUGAUCCCCCACACUGGUACUGAGACACGGACCAGACUCCUACGGGAGGCAGCAGUGAGGAAUAUUGGACAAUGGGUGAGAGCCUGAUCCAGCCAUCCCGCGUGAAGGACGACGGCCCUAUGGGUUGUAAACUUCUUUUGUAUAGGGAUAAACCUACUCUCGUGAGAGUAGCUGAAGGUACUAUACGAAUAAGCACCGGCUAACUCCGUGCCAGCAGCCGCGGUAAUACGGAGGGUGCAAGCGUUAUCCGGAUUUAUUGGGUUUAAAGGGUCCGUAGGCUGAUUUGUAAGUCAGUGGUGAAAUCUCACAGCUCAACUGUGAAACUGCCAUUGAUACUGCAAGUCUUGAGUGUUGUUGAAGUAGCUGGAAUAAGUAGUGUAGCGGUGAAAUGCAUAGAUAUUACUUAGAACACCAAUUGCGAAGGCAGGUUACUAAGCAACAACUGACGCUGAUGGACGAAAGCGUGGGGAGCGAACAGGAUUAGAUACCCUGGUAGUCCACGCCGUAAACGAUGCUAACUCGUUUUUGGGUUUUCGGAUUCAGAGACUAAGCGAAAGUGAUAAGUUAGCCACCUGGGGAGUACGGACGCAAGUCUGAAACUCAAACGAAUUGACGG
Molecule: ribosomal RNA, 852 nt
Filed under: uncultured bacterium
Lineage: Bacteria
Description: bacterial SSU rRNA
Rfam family: Bacterial small subunit ribosomal RNA
Source: RNAcentral